CCGCGGUAAUACGAAGGGUGCAAGCGUUAAUCGGAAUUACUGGGCGUAAAGCGCGCGUAGGUGGUUCAGCAAGUUGGAUGUGAAAUCCCCGGGCUCAACCUGGGAACUGCAUCCAAAACUACUGAGCUAGAGUACGGUAGAGGGUGGUGGAAUUUCCUGUGUAGCGGUGAAAUGCGUAGAUAUAGGAAGGAACACCAGUGGCGAAGGCGACCACCUGGACUGAUACUGACACUGAGGUGCGAAAGCGUGGGGAGCAAACAGGAUU
RNAcentral lists this ribosomal RNA (265 nucleotides) under Pseudomonas aeruginosa. Its description in RNAcentral is "partial 16S ribosomal RNA". It matches the Rfam family "Bacterial small subunit ribosomal RNA", at positions 515 to 779 of the family's 1533-position model. The record is from RNAcentral. Lineage: Bacteria; Pseudomonadati; Pseudomonadota; Gammaproteobacteria; Pseudomonadales; Pseudomonadaceae.